UACAGAGGGGGCAAGCGUUGUCCGGAUUUACUGGGCGUAAAGCGUAUGUAGGCGGCGCGAGAGGUGGGGUGUGAAAUCGCUCGGCUUAACCGGGCGCGGCCAUCCCAAACCCUCGUGCUCGAGCUGUGCAGAGGUUGGUGGAAUUGCCGGUGUAGUGGUGAAAUGCGUAGAGAUCGGCAGGAACACCAAGGGAGAAAUCAACCAACUGGGCACAUGCUGACGCUGAGGUACGAGAGCGUGGGGAGCGAACCGG
Molecule: ribosomal RNA, 253 nt
Filed under: uncultured bacterium
Lineage: Bacteria
Description: partial 16S ribosomal RNA
Rfam family: Bacterial small subunit ribosomal RNA
Source: RNAcentral